Molecule: ribosomal RNA, 326 nt
Filed under: uncultured eukaryote
Lineage: Eukaryota
Description: partial 18S ribosomal RNA
Rfam family: Eukaryotic small subunit ribosomal RNA
Source: RNAcentral
CCCUUAGAUGUUCUGGGCUGCACGCGCGCUACACUGAUGCGCUCAACGAGUUUUAACCUUGCCUGGAAAGGUUGGGUAAUCUUUUUAAAACGCAUCGUGAUGGGGAUAGAUUAUUGCAAUUAUUAAUCUUCAACGAGGAAUUCCUAGUAAGCGCGAGUCAUCAGCUCGUGCUGAUUACGUCCCUGCCCUUUGUACACACCGCCCGUCGCACCUACCGAUUGAAUGGUCCGGUGAAGCCUCGGGAUUGUGGCGAGUUCCCUUUAUUGGGAGUUUGUCGCGAGAACUUGUCUAAACCUUAUCAUUUAGAGGAAGGUGAAGUCGUAACA